GCAUAUCAAUAAGCGGAGGAAAAGAAACCAACAGGGAUUGCCUCAGUAACGGCGAGUGAAGCGGCAAAAGCUCAAAUUUGAAAUCUGGUACCUUCGGUGCCCGAGUUGUAAUUUGAAGAUUGUACUCUGGAGUUGGCCCUUGUCUAUGUUCCUUGGAACAGGACGUCACAGAGGGUGAGAAUCCCGUGCGAUGGGGUGUCCAAUUCCAUGUAGAGUGCUAUCGAAGAGUCGAGUUGUUUGGGAAUGCAGCUCUAAGUGGGUGGUAAAUUCCAUCUAAAGCUGAAUAUUGGCGAGAGACCGAUAGCGAACAAGUACAGUGAUGGAAAGAUGAAAAGAACUUUGAAAAGAGAGUGAAAAAGUACGUGAAAUUGUUGAAAGGGAAGGUUAUUAGAUCAGACUUGGUGUUUGGCGAUAUUCAGCCUCUUGUAGGCUGUUCACUCGUCUUUCACUGGGCCAGCAUCGGUUUGGAUGGCAGGAUAAUGGCUGUUGAACGUGGCUCUUCGGAGUGUUAUAGCUUCAGCUGAUACUGCCUAUCUAGACCGAGGACUGCGGCUUUCGAGCCUAGGAUGCUGGCGUAAUGAUCUAAUAUCGCCCGUCUUGAAACACGGACC
RNAcentral lists this ribosomal RNA (611 nucleotides) under uncultured fungus. RNAcentral describes it as "LSU rRNA". It matches the Rfam family "Eukaryotic large subunit ribosomal RNA", at positions 38 to 667 of the family's 3401-position model. Lineage: Eukaryota; Fungi. The record is from RNAcentral.